GAUGAACGCUGGCGGCGUGCCUAAUACAUGCAAGUCGAGCGAACAGACGAGGAGCUUGCUCCUCUGACGUUAGCGGCGGACGGGUGAGUAACACGUGGAUAACCUACCUAUAAGACUGGGAUAACUUCGGGAAACCGGAGCUAAUACCGGAUAAUAUAUUGAACCGCAUGGUUCAAUAGUGAAAGACGGUUUUGCUGUCACUUAUAGAUGGAUCCGCGCCGCAUUAGCUAGUUGGUAAGGUAACGGCUUACCAAGGCAACGAUUCGUAGCCGACCUGAGAGGGUGAUCGGCCACACUGGAACUGAGACACGGUCCAGACUCCUACGGGAGGCAGCAGUAGGGAAUCUUCCGCAAUGGGCGAAAGCCUGACGGAGCAACGCCGCGUGAGUGAUGAAGGUCUUCGGAUCGUAAAACUCUGUUAUUAGGGAAGAACAAAUGUGUAAGUAACUAUGCACGUCUUGACGGAACCUAAUCAGAAAGCCACGGCUAACUACGUG
RNAcentral lists this ribosomal RNA (497 nucleotides) under uncultured bacterium. RNAcentral's name for it is "partial 16S ribosomal RNA". It matches the Rfam family "Bacterial small subunit ribosomal RNA", at positions 28 to 507 of the family's 1533-position model. The record is from RNAcentral.